RNAcentral lists this transfer RNA (76 nucleotides) under Variovorax paradoxus. RNAcentral describes it as "tRNA-Ala". The record is from RNAcentral. Lineage: Bacteria; Pseudomonadati; Pseudomonadota; Betaproteobacteria; Burkholderiales; Comamonadaceae.
GGUGCUGCUGGCCGAGCCGGGCAGGCAGCGCGCGUUCGCCUUGCGCGCGGCCUGGCUCGAGCCCGGCAUGGCGCCU